Molecule: long non-coding RNA, 1845 nt
Organism: Dreissena polymorpha
Lineage: Eukaryota; Metazoa; Mollusca; Bivalvia; Myida; Dreissenidae
Exons: 5
Source: RefSeq, a predicted model, not a curated record
GUCCCUGUUGAUCGAUCCACACUCCUGCCUAAGUAGUUUGUUAAGCUCCAGUGCCGGAGGUGGGUCAAGUAUUUCAGACACGCUGAGUUAUAGCAGUAGUUAUGGUAACACCAACAGUCACUGAUUGUGGACUUCACAACGAAUAGUACGAAGAAUAAAAAGUUGGAUAACUUUUUCCAUGCUUUGUUGGACUAACAGAGCAACACAUGGAAUAAUGGUAGAAAAUCUAGAAACAGUUAAACAGUUAUAGAUCGAAGCAUAAGCUAUCCACGGGGUCUACUUCUGCUUUCAAUAGUAGUAGCAUUAUGGACCAUCCUGGUUUGUCCUCUUAUGCAUCCAAAAUGUUCAAAGUGAACAUGCUUUUUACGCAGUUGCUGACAAAAAAAACUUUGUAUGAACACUCGUAGCACGAUGAAUACAUCGGUGUGGUUCAGACGCAAAUUCUUCCCAACAACAUAAACACGGUGCUUAAGGUGUACCCAUCAUGGUUUGUUACGAGCACUUCACACUCCAAGACAAAACAGCCUCGCAUUGAGCUGACACUAGAUAAAGCGUUGAAAAAUGACAGCAGUUUUGUCGUGUGGUCCAGUAUGCCUUUUGACUCCAACCCAACAUUAGGUAGAACUCAAACUCAGCCCUUAGCAAUCACAGCGAGGCCAGCAUGUCAUCUCACCUUCUUGAGCCUCAGUCAUUGGACGGCCUGUCAUGCGAACGAAUUCAAGAGUUCAAAGCAAAUAUUAUUAGCCAACAAUACAAACAUCGUUAAAGUAAAUGUCGAUGGAAAUCGGCGGCACCCCUUUCUUUAACAAAUACUACAACUCGCUCAAGAAAUUUAAGUACGAAGACGUAUUGCAGCAGCCUAGCACACCACAUCUUCUCCAAUGUUGGCUACAUCAACACUUCGAACAGCAGAGCCUUGAAGAGCACCAUCAUCGAUAUUGAUUUGGCGCAGCAACAGCACCAGUCCAGCCCGCAUGAGCCUCAGUCAAGGACGAACCUUCCCCUCCACCUGACCCUAGCAGCCUCAGUCCACGACGACCCUUCCACUCGACCUGACCCUAGCGCCUCCACCUUGACCUACGGCCUCAAAAGAUUACAUUAUUAUCCAAGAAGAAGAACAUUGUUGAAGUAAAUGUUGAAAACAGUCCAAACCCCCUUCUCACACAAAUACUACAAGUCGCUCGAGACAUUCAGCACGCCACCUAUGAACAUCUCGCACAAAAACAACAAGUUGUUCAAGAAAUUCAGCACGCCACCUAUGAACAUCUCCCACAAAUACUACAAGUCGCUCAAGAUUCAGCACGCCACCUAUGAACAUCUCCUACAAAUACUACAAGUCGCUCAAGAAAUUCAGCACGCCACCUAUGAACAUCUCACACAAAUAAUACAACUCGUUCAAGAAAUUCAGCACGCCACCUAUGAACAUCUCCAACAAAUACUACAAGUCGCUCAAGAAAUUCAGCACGCCACCUAUGAACAUCUCCCACAAAUACUACAAGUCGUUCAAGAAUUUCAGCACGCCACCUAUGAACAUCUCCCACAAAUACUACAAGUUGCUCAAGAAAUUCAGCACGCCACGUAUGAACAUCUCGCACAAAUACUACAAGUUGUUUAAAAAUUUGGCAGGCCACGUAUGAACAUCUCCCAGAAAUACUACAAGUCGCUCAAGAUUCAGCACGCCACCUAUGAACAUCUCGCACAAAUACUACAAGUCGCUCAAGAAAUUCAGCAUGCCACCUAUGAACAUCUCCCACAAAUACUACAAGUCGCUCAAGAAAUUCAGCACGCCACCUAUAAACAUCUCCCACAAAUACUACAAGUCGCUCAAGAAAUUCAGCAUGCCAC